This 957-nucleotide small RNA is filed under the name uncultured Pseudonocardia sp. RNAcentral describes it as "bacterial SSU rRNA". The stretch from base 1 to 473 matches the Rfam family "Bacterial small subunit ribosomal RNA", at positions 1064 to 1533 of the family's 1533-position model. The record is from RNAcentral. Lineage: Bacteria; Bacillati; Actinomycetota; Actinomycetes; Pseudonocardiales; Pseudonocardiaceae.
GUCGUGAGAUGUUGGGUUAAGUCCCGCAACGAGCGCAACCCUUGUUCCAUGUUGCCAGCGGGUGAUGCCGGGGACUCAUGGGAGACUGCCGGGGUCAACUCGGAGGAAGGUGGGGAUGACGUCAAGUCAUCAUGCCCCUUAUGUCCAGGGCUUCACACAUGCUACAAUGGCCUAUACAGAGGGCUGCGAGACCGUGAGGUGGAGCGAAUCCCUUAAAGUGGGUCUCAGUUCGGAUCGGGGUCUGCAACUCGACCCCGUGAAGUUGGAGUCGCUAGUAAUCGCAGAUCAGCAACGCUGCGGUGAAUACGUUCCCGGGCCUUGUACACACCGCCCGUCACGUCACGAAAGUUGGUAACACCCGAAGCCGAUGGCCUAACCACUUGUGGGGGGAGUCGUCGAAGGUGGGACUGGCGAUUGGGACGAAGUCGUAACAAGGUAGCCGUACCGGAAGGUGCGGCUGGAUCACCUCCUUUCUAAGGAGUCUCACCGUUUGGUGAGGUCGGUACACGUCUCGGUGACGGUUGCUGUGUUCGGGUGGCUGUCGGUCGGGGGUGUGUCCCUCCUUUCACUGUUUCCACAUCGGAUCACGCGGUGCAUCCCCGGUUGGGGGUGGGCUGUGGGUGUGGCUGGGUGGAACACUUCUGCUGCUUGGUUCCGAACAUGUUGAAGCAGGCUUGGCACGCUGUUGGGUCCUGAGGAGACACCUGUUGGGUGUGUUCUUGGUCCGCCUCCUGGCCGGGUUCCUAACGCACUCUUGUGGUUUUGUGGGUGUGGUGGUGCUGGUGGGUUUUGGGGUGUGGUUGUGUGUUGAGUGUUGCAUAGUGGAUGCGAGCAUCUUGUUGUGGUCAAGUGUGUAAGGGCACAUGGUGGAUGUCUGGGCAUCAGGAGCCGAUGAAGGACGUGGGAGGCCGCGAUAGUCCUCGGGGAGUUGUCAACCGAGCUGUGAUCCGAGGGUGU